RNAcentral lists this ribosomal RNA (770 nucleotides) under Xiphinema brevicolle. RNAcentral's name for it is "partial 28S ribosomal RNA". It matches the Rfam family "Eukaryotic large subunit ribosomal RNA", at positions 373 to 928 of the family's 3401-position model. Lineage: Eukaryota; Metazoa; Nematoda; Enoplea; Dorylaimida; Longidoridae. The record is from RNAcentral.
ACUUUGAAGAGAGAGUUCAAAAGGGCGUGAAACCGCUUAGAAGAAAACGGACGGAACCGUCUGACGCCCUCGGGAAUCAGUCGAACGACGCGCGAACGCGUCUCGAUCGUCGGAGCGUAAAAGUCCGGCUCGAGGCGUCUAGUAGUCGCGUUCGUAAGGCGCAUUUCUCGAGGGUUAGCGCCGCGACCGAUGCGAACGGCCGACGACGCCGUCGAGUUGAGGUCGAACGCCCUUCGCGGGUAUUCGUAACCAGCUCGUUCGGUAGACUCGUCGGAUCUAAUAUAUAAAGCAUCGAGCGAAUACUAUAAAUACGUCGGCGUAAAACGCUCGACGAGCGGCGGAGACUCGGCCAGUCGUUCGGUACCUGCUCGCAGGUUCUCGUUCGGCGCGAGGUCGUUUCCCGAUGUCGCCGUCGACGCUACCGACGUUUAGGCGUCCGCGGCGUCCGAGUCGGCCACCCGUCCGACCCGUCUUGAAACACGGACCAAGGAGUCUAACGUACGCGCGAGUUAAUGGGUGGAAAACCCAUAAGCGCAAUAAAAGUAAAAGUCGUCCCAAGACGGCCGAGGUACGAUCCUAGACUACGCGUCUAGGCGCAGUACCGUCCCGUCCCGACCGCACGUCGGUAGGGCGGAGAUUGAGCGCAUACGUUGGGACCCGAAAGAUGGUGAACUAUGCCUGAGCAGAGCGAAGCCAGAGGAAACUCUGGUGGAGGUUCGUAGCGGUUCUGACGUGCAAAUCGAUCGUCAGACUUGGGUAUAGGGGCGAAA